GGCUGGAGUGCAGUGGCGCAAUCGCGGCUCACUGCAAGCUCCGCCUCUCGGGUUCACGCCAUUCUCCUGCCUCAGCCUCUCCGAGCAGCUGGGACUACAGGUGCCCACCACCACACCCGGCUAAUUUUUUGUAUUUUUAGUAGAGACGGGAUUUCACCGUGGCCUCGAUCUCCUGACCUCAUGAUCCACCCGCCUCGGCCUCCCAAAGUGCUGGGAUUACAAGCGUGAGCCACCGCGCCCGGCUAUAAUACAUCUUAAUUGUGGUGGUAACAUGGGCAUAUUCCUUUGGCAAAACCAUUUGAACUGUACACUUAAAAUGUGCAUUUUAUUAC
This 332-nucleotide long non-coding RNA is filed under the name Homo sapiens (human). RNAcentral describes it as "LHRI_LNC208.1". The record is from RNAcentral. Lineage: Eukaryota; Metazoa; Chordata; Mammalia; Primates; Hominidae.